AUUGAACGCUGGCGGCAGGCCUAACACAUGCAAGUCGAACGAGUGGCGGACGGGUGAGUAAUGUCUGGGGAACUGCCCGAUGGAGGGGGAUAACUACUGGAAACGGUAGCUAAUACCGCAUACCAUCGGAUGUGCCCAGCUGGGAUUAGCUAGUAGGUGGGGUCACGGCUCACCUAGGCGACGAUCCCUAGCUGGUCUGAGAGGAUGACCAGCCACACUGGAACUGUGACCCGGUCCGAACUCCUCCGGGAGGCAGCAGUGGGGAAUAUUGCACAAGGGGCGCAAGCCUGAUGCAGCCAUGCCGCGUGUAUGAAGAGGGCCUUCGGGUUGUAAGGUACUUUCAGCGGGGAGGCGUUACUCGCAGAAGAAGCACCGGCUAACUCCGUGCCAGCAGCCGCGGUAAUUC
RNAcentral lists this ribosomal RNA (406 nucleotides) under uncultured bacterium. Its description in RNAcentral is "partial 16S ribosomal RNA". It matches the Rfam family "Bacterial small subunit ribosomal RNA", at positions 30 to 526 of the family's 1533-position model. The record is from RNAcentral.